RNAcentral lists this ribosomal RNA (429 nucleotides) under Chloroflexota bacterium. RNAcentral describes it as "Chloroflexi bacterium partial 16S ribosomal RNA". It matches the Rfam family "Bacterial small subunit ribosomal RNA", at positions 355 to 776 of the family's 1533-position model. Lineage: Bacteria; Bacillati; Chloroflexota. The record is from RNAcentral.
UGGGGAAUAUUGCACAAUGGGCGCAAGCCUGAUGCAGCCAUGCCGCGUGUAUGAAGAAGGCCUUUGGGUUGUAAAGUACUUUCAGUCGGGAGGAAGGUGGUAAGGUUAAUAACCUUGGCAAUUGACGUUACCGACAGAAGAAGCACCGGCUAACUCCGUGCCAGCAGCCGCGGUAAUACGGAGGGUGCAAGCGUUAAUCGGAAUUACUGGGCGUAAAGCGCACGCAGGCGGUUGAUUGAGUCAGAUGUGAAAUCCCCGGGCUUAACCCAGGAAUUGCAUCUGAUACUGGUCAGCUAGAGUCUUGUAGAGAGGGGUAGAAUUCCAUGUGUAGCGGUGAAAUGCGUAGAGAUGUGGAGGAAUACCUGUGGCGAAGGCGGCCCCCUGGACAAAGACUGACGCUCAGGUGCGAAAGCGUGAGGAGCAAACAGG